AUUGAACGCUGGCGGCAUGCCUUACAUAUGCAAGUCGAACGGUAACAGGUCUUCGGAUGCUGACGAGUGGCGAACGGGUGAGUAAUACAUCGGAACGUGCCUAGUAGUGGGGGAUAACUACUCGAAAGAGUGGCUAAUACCGCAUGAGAUCUACGGAUGAAAGCAGGGGAUAGCAAGACCUUGUGCUACUAGAGCGGCCGAUGGCAGAUUAGGUAGUUGGUGGGAUAAAAGCUUACCAAGCCGACUAUCUGUAGCUGGUCUGAGAGGACGAUCAGCCACACUGGGACUGAGAAACGGCCCAGACUCCUACGGGAGGCAGCAGUGGGGAAUUUUGGACAAUGGGCGCAAGCCUGAUCCAGCAAUGCCGCGUGCAGGAUGAAGGCCUUCGGGUUGUAAACUGCUUUUGUACGGAACGAAAAGCCCCGGGUUAAUACCCUGGGGUCAUGACGGUACCGUAAGAAUAAGCACCGGCUAACUACGUGCCAGCCGCCGCGGUAA
RNAcentral lists this ribosomal RNA (498 nucleotides) under uncultured bacterium. RNAcentral's name for it is "partial 16S ribosomal RNA". It matches the Rfam family "Bacterial small subunit ribosomal RNA", at positions 30 to 523 of the family's 1533-position model. The record is from RNAcentral.